This is a long non-coding RNA of Empidonax traillii (willow flycatcher), 312 nucleotides long. RefSeq lists it as uncharacterized. The record is from RefSeq and is a predicted model, not a curated record. NCBI's taxonomy places the organism in Eukaryota, Metazoa, Chordata, Aves, Passeriformes, Tyrannidae. The transcript is spliced from 4 exons.
AUCUCACAUGGGCCAGUGGACCACCUGUCACUUGUUGCAGCAGUGAUGAAUGUGAACCACUUUUGGGAUGAGUUUUGGUCCUGCAGCAAAGAGCAGGACACAGCCAGGGACAAGGACUGCAUUGCCCUGCAGUCAUGAGAUAAUCCUGAAUUUUUCAGGAUACUGCAGGCAGCAAUGCUUGAGACUUGAACACAGACUUCAAGGAGAAUAAUGCUUCCCCAGACAGUCCCUUUCCUAGCAGUGAGCCUGAUGUAAACCCCAAGGAAGAAACUCCCUUUGCAAAACUAAGUGGACAGCUGACUUCAGAGAGGU